RNAcentral lists this ribosomal RNA (1500 nucleotides) under metagenome. Its description in RNAcentral is "bacterial SSU rRNA". It matches the Rfam family "Bacterial small subunit ribosomal RNA". The record is from RNAcentral.
AGAGUCUGAUCAUGGCUCAGAUUGAACGCUGGCGGCAGGCCUAACACAUGCAAGUCGAACGGUAACAGGAAGCAGCUUGCUGCUUCGCUGACGAGUGGCGGACGGGUGAGUAAUGUCUGGGAAGCUGCCUGAUGGAGGGGGAUAACUACUGGAAACGGUAGCUAAUACCGCAUAAUGUCGCAAGACCAAAGAGGGGGACCUUCGGGCCUCUUGCCAUCGGAUGUGCCCAGAUGGGAUUAGCUUGUUGGUGGGGUAACGGCUCACCAAGGCGACGAUCCCUAGCUGGUCUGAGAGGAUGACCAGCCACACUGGAACUGAGACACGGUCCAGACUCCUACGGGAGGCAGCAGUGGGGAAUAUUGCACAAUGGGCGCAAGCCUGAUGCAGCCAUGCCGCGUGUAUGAAGAAGGCCUUCGGGUUGUAAAGUACUUUCAGCGGGGAGGAAGGGAGUAAAGUUAAUACCUUUGCUCAUUGACGUUACCCGCAGAAGAAGCACCGGCUAACUCCGUGCCAGCAGCCGCGGUAAUACGGAGGGUGCAAGCGUUAAUCGGUAUUACUGGGCGUAAAGCGCACGCAGGCGGUUUGUUAAGUCAGAUGUGAAAUCCCCGGGCUCAACCUGGGAACUGCAUCUGAUACUGGCAAGCUUGAGUCUCGUAGAGGGGGGUAGAAUUCCAGGUGUAGCGGUGAAAUGCGUAGAGAUCUGGAGGAAUACCGGUGGCGAAGGCGGCCCCCUGGACGAAGACUGACGCUCAGGUGCGAAAGCGUGGGGAGCAAACAGGAUUAGAUACCCUGGUAGUACACGCCGUAAACGAUGUCGACUUGGAGGUUGUGCCCUUGAGGCGUGGCUUCCGGAGCUAACGCGUUAAGUCGACCGCCUGGGGAGUACGGCCGCAAGGUUAAAACUCAAAUGAAUUGACGGGGGCCCGCACAAGCGGUGGAGCAUGUGGUUUAAUUCGAUGCAACGCGAAGAACCUUACCUGGUCUUGACAUCCACGGAAGUUUUCAGAGAUGAGAAUGUGCCUUCGGGAACCGUGAGACAGGUGCUGCAUGGCUGUCGUCAGCUCGUGUUGUGAAAUGUUGGGUUAAGUCCCGCAACGAGCGCAACCCUUAUCCUUUGUUGCCAGCGGUCCGGCCGGGAACUCAAAGGAGACUGCCAGUGAUAAACUGGAGGAAGGUGGGGAUGACGUCAAGUCAUCAUGGCCCUUACGACCAGGGCUACACACGUGCUACAAUGGCGCAUACAAAGAGAAGCGACCUCGCGAGAGCAAGCGGACCUCAUAAAGUGCGUCGUAGUCCGGAUUGGAGUCUGCAACUCGACUCCAUGAAGUCGGAAUCGCUAGUAAUCGUGGAUCAGAAUGCCACGGUGAAUACGUUCCCGGGCCUUGUACACACCGCCCGUCACACCAUGGGAGUGGGUUGCAAAAGAAGUAGGUAGCUUAACCUUCGGGAGGGCGCUUGCCACUUUGUGAUUCAUGACUGGGGUGAAGUCGUAACAAGGUA